RNAcentral lists this ribosomal RNA (454 nucleotides) under uncultured bacterium. Its description in RNAcentral is "partial 16S ribosomal RNA". It matches the Rfam family "Bacterial small subunit ribosomal RNA", at positions 28 to 507 of the family's 1533-position model. The record is from RNAcentral.
GAUGAACGCUGACAGAAUGCUUAACACAUGCAAGUCAACUUGAACUUCGGUUUGGGUGGCGGACGGGUGAGUAACGCGUAAAGAACUUGCCUCACAGUUAGGGACAACAUUUGGAAACGAAUGCUAAUACCUGAUAUUAUGAUUUUAGGGCAUCCUAGAAUUAUGAAAGCUAUAUGCGCUGUGAGAGAGCUUUGCGUCCCAUUAGCUAGUUGGAGAGGUAACGGCUCACCAAGGCGAUGAUGGGUAGCCGGCCUGAGAGGGUGAACGGCCACAAGGGGACUGAGACACGGCCCUUACUCCUUCGGGAGGCAACAGUGGGGAAUAUUGGACAAUGGACCAAGAGUCUGAUCCAGCAAUUCUGUGUGCACGAUGAAGUUUUUCGGAAUGUAAAGUGCUUUCAGUUGGGAAGAAAAAAAUGACGAUACCAACAGAAGAAGUGACGGCUAAAUACGUG